Molecule: ribosomal RNA, 811 nt
Filed under: uncultured bacterium
Lineage: Bacteria
Description: bacterial SSU rRNA
Rfam family: Bacterial small subunit ribosomal RNA
Source: RNAcentral
CUUAACACAUGCAAGUCGAGGGGAAACGACAUCGAAAGCUUGCUUUUGAUGGGCGUCGACCGGCGCACGGGUGAGUAACGCGUAUCCAACCUGCCCACCACUUGGGGAUAACCUUGCGAAAGUAAGACUAAUGCCCAAUGAUAUCUCUAGAAGACAUCUGAAAGAGAUUAAAGAUUUAUCGGUGAUGGAUGGGGAUGCGUCUGAUUAGCUUGUUGGCGGGGUAACGGCCCACCAAGGCGACGAUCAGUAGGGGUUCUGAGAGGAAGGUCCCCCACAUUGGAACUGAGACACGGUCCAAACUCCUACGGGAGGCAGCAGUGAGGAAUAUUGGUCAAUGGACGAGAGUCUGAACCAGCCAAGUAGCGUGCAGGAUGACGGCCCUAUGGGUUGUAAACUGCUUUUAUAAGGGAAUAAAGUGAGUCUCGUGAGACUUUUUGCAUGUACCUUAUGAAUAAGGACCGGCUAAUUCCGUGCCAGCAGCCGCGGUAAUACGGAAGGUCCGGGCGUUAUCCGGAUUUAUUGGGUUUAAAGGGAGCGUAGGCCGGAGAUUAAGCGUGUUGUGAAAUGUAGACGCUCAACGUCUGCACUGCAGCGCGAACUGGUUUCCUUGAGUACGCACAAAGUGGGCGGAAUUCGUGGUGUGGCGGUGAAAUGCUUAGAUAUCACGAAGAACUCCGAUUGCGAAGGCAGCUCACUGGAGCGCAACUGACGCUGAAGCUCGAAAGUGCGGGUAUCGAACAGGAUUAGAUACCCUGGUAGUCCGCACGGUAAACGAUGGAUGCCCGCUGUUGGUCUGAAUAGGUCAGCGGCC